GUUCGGAAUUACUGGGCGUAAAGCGCACGUAGGCGGAUUAGUUAGUCAGAGGUGAAAUCCCGGGGCUCAACCCCGGAACUGCCUUUGAUACUGCUAGUCUUGAGUUCGAGAGAGGUGAGUGGAAUUCCGAGUGUAGAGGUGAAAUUCGUAGAUAUUCGGAGGAACACCAGUGGCGAAGGCGGCUCACUGGCUCGAUACUGACGCUGAGGUGCGAAAGUGUGGGGAGCAAACAGGAUUAGAUACCCUGGUAG
Molecule: ribosomal RNA, 251 nt
Filed under: uncultured bacterium
Lineage: Bacteria
Description: partial 16S ribosomal RNA
Rfam family: Bacterial small subunit ribosomal RNA
Source: RNAcentral